GAGAGAGAGAGAACGACAGAGAGACAAAGAGAAAGAGAGACAGAGACAGAAAAAGAAAGAGACAGAAAGAGAGAGAGACAGAAACAGAAAGAGACAGAAAGAGAGAGAGACAGAAACAGAAAGAGAGAGAGACAGAGAGAGAGACAGAAACAGAAAGAGAGAGCGACAGAGAGAGAGAGACAGAAGAGAGAGAGACAGAAACAGAAAGAGAGAGCGACAGAGAGAGAGAGAGACAGAAACAGAAGAGAGAGCGACAGAGAGAGAGAGAGACAGAAACAGAAAGAGAGAGCGACAGAGAGAGAGAGACAGAAACAGAAAGAGAGAGCGACAGAGAGAGAGAGACAGAAACAGAAAGAGAGAGCGACAGAGAGAGAGACGUGUAAAUGUAAGAGUAUAAAUGGUGUUAUUAAGGUAAUGGAGUGUGAAAGUGAACACGAGAAGUGAAUUACAACACACAUGUUCGUUCUUUCUUUCUUUCUUUCUUUCUUUCAGUGCAGUAAGUGUACUCUGUGUUAUUAAAAGCAGUUUAUUCUGAUUGAUGUGGUGUGUGUCGUUGUACAGAUGUGGUGAUGUGUGAUGUUGGAAAUGUUUUGAUGUCAUUGUACAGAUGGGUGUUUGAUACAGAUGUUUUCAUGUGUGAAGUUUUACAGAUGAUGUGAUGCGUGUCAUAUAGAUGUGGCAAUGUGCAUCAUUGUACAAAUGUGAUGAGGUGUGUGUCAUUGUACAAAUGUGAUGAGGUGUGUGUCAUUGUACAAAUGUG
Long non-coding RNA from Ictalurus punctatus (channel catfish), 760 nucleotides. The record is from Ensembl. Lineage: Eukaryota; Metazoa; Chordata; Actinopteri; Siluriformes; Ictaluridae.